This 375-nucleotide ribosomal RNA is filed under the name uncultured bacterium. Its description in RNAcentral is "bacterial SSU rRNA". It matches the Rfam family "Bacterial small subunit ribosomal RNA", at positions 524 to 898 of the family's 1533-position model. The record is from RNAcentral.
UACGUAGGGUGCGAGCGUUAAUCGGAAUUACUGGGCGUAAAGCGAGCGCAGACGGUUAUUUAAGCAGGAUGUGAAAUCCCCGAGCUCAACUUGGGAACUGCGUACUGAACUGGGUAACUAGAGUGUGUCAGAGGGGGGUAGAAUUCCACGUGUAGCAGUGAAAUGCGUAGAGAUGUGGAGGAAUACCGAUGGCGAAGGCAGCCCCCUGGGAUAACACUGACGUUCAUGCUCGAAAGCGUGGGUAGCAAACAGGAUUAGAUACCCUGGUAGUCCACGCCCUAAACGAUGUCAAUUAGCUGUUGGGGUGCUUGACACCUUAGUAGCGUAGCUAACGCGUGAAAUUGACCGCCUGGGGAGUACGGUCGCAAGAUUAAA